This 72-nucleotide transfer RNA is filed under the name Phycicoccus sp. Its description in RNAcentral is "tRNA-Arg". It matches the Rfam family "tRNA". Rfam says of the family: Transfer RNA (tRNA) molecules are approximately 80 nucleotides in length. The record is from RNAcentral. Lineage: Bacteria; Bacillati; Actinomycetota; Actinomycetes; Micrococcales; Intrasporangiaceae.
GCCCCGAUGGCCCAAUGGACACGGCACCGGUCUACGACACCGGAGAUCGAGGUUCGACUCCUCGUCGGGGCA